GCUGGCGGCGUGCUUAACACAUGCAAGUCGAACGGAAAGGCCCUGCUUUUGUGGGGUGCUCGAGUGGCGAACGGGUGAGUAACACGUGAGUAACCUGCCCUUGACUUUGGGAUAACUUCAGGAAACUGGGGCUAAUACCGGAUAGGAGCUCCUGCUGCAUGGUGGGGGUUGGAAAGUUUCGGCGGUUGGGGAUGGACUCGCGGCUUAUCAGCUUGUUGGUGGGGUAGUGGCUUACCAAGGCUUUGACGGGUAGCCGGCCUGAGAGGGUGACCGGCCACAUUGGGACUGAGAUACGGCCCAGACUCCUACGGGAGGCAGCAGUGGGGAAUAUUGCACAAUGGGCGGAAGCCUGAUGCAGCAACGCCGCGUGCGGGAUGACGGCCUUCGGGUUGUAAACCGCUUUCGCCUGUGACGAAGCGUGAGUGACGGUAAUGGGUAAAGAAGCACCGGCUAACUACGUGCCAGCAGCCGCGGUGAUACGUAGGGUGCGAGCGUUGUCCGGAUUUAUUGGGCGUAAAGGGCUCGUAGGUGGUUGAUCGCGUCGGAAGUGUAAUCUUGGGGCUUAACCCUGAGCGUGCUUUCGAUACGGGUUGACUUGAGGAAGGUAGGGGAGAAUGGAAUUCCUGGUGGAGCGGUGGAAUGCGCAGAUAUCAGGAGGAACACCAGUGGCGAAGGCGGUUCUCUGGGCCUUUCCUGACGCUGAGGAGCGAAAGCGUGGGGAGCGAACAGGCUUAGAUACCCUGGUAGUCCACGCUGUAAACGGUGGGUACUAGGUGUGGGGUCCAUUCCACGGGUUCCGUGCCGUAGCUAACGCUUUAAGUACCCCGCCUGGGGAGUACGGCCGCAAGGCUAAAACUCAAAGGAAUUGACGGGGCCCCGCACAAGCGGCGGAGCAUGCGGAUUAAUUCGAUGCAACGCGUAGAACCUUACCUGGGUUUGACAUGGAUCGGGAGUGCUCAGAGAUGGGUGUGCCUCUUUUGGGGUCGGUUCACAGGUGGUGCAUGGCUGUCGUCAGCUCGUGUCGUGAGAUGUUGGGUUAAGUCCCGCAACGAGCGCAACCCUUGUUCACUGUUGCCAGCACGUUAUGGUGGGGACUCAGUGGAGACCGCCGGGGUCAACUCGGAGGAAGGUGGGGAUGACGUCAAGUCAUCAUGCCCCUUAUGUCCAGGGCUUCACGCAUGCUACAAUGGCUGGUACAGAGAGUGGCGAGCCUGUGAGGGUGAGCGAAUCUCGGAAAGCCGGUCUCAGUUCGGAUUGGGGUCUGCAACUCGACCUCAUGAAGUCGGAGUCGCUAGUAAUCGCAGAUCAGCAACGCCGCGGUGAAUACGUUCCCGGGGCUUGUACACACCGCCCGUCAAGUCAUGAAAGUUGGUAACACCCGAAGCCGGUGGCCUAACCGUUGUGGGGGAGCCGUCGAAGGUGGGACUGGUGAUUAGGACUA
Molecule: ribosomal RNA, 1441 nt
Filed under: uncultured organism
Description: 16S ribosomal RNA
Rfam family: Bacterial small subunit ribosomal RNA
Source: RNAcentral